UCUGCCCCCUCACAUCUGCUGUCUCACGCUCUGACCCUCCUGCCUCCCCCUUACAGGGACCCCUGGGCAACCCUGGGCCUGGCAGAUCCUGUGGCCUCAGCCACCAGCAAUGCCGAGAAAAAGACUGGGGCCAGAGGGGUGAAGCAUGGGACUCUGGCCAAGUGACGAGGACCUGAUUCAGGAGACAGAUCCUCAGCGCCCUCCAUGCCGGCCCUGCCUCGGAAGCCAGGACCCCAGAGAGGAAGAAGCCAGAAAGAACCAGGUCCUGGAGUGCGCGGAGCCUGCCGUCCUCUGCGGAGUCAGAAGUCAGGCCGCGAGGAUGGACAGGUGCUUCCUCCACGUCCCCGGGCAGAGACGGUGUGCGGGUGAGGCAGUGCCCAGUCUUCUCGUGAACGGCGGACAGGCAGCGUGUUUACUCCUUCCUCGGGAGCUGUGCCCCCCAGGACAUACCGCGCCCCUGUGAAUGGUGAGGGCUGAAGGGAUUUCAGCAGAAACCUGUACUCUCAGGCUUCAUGACUGGUGCUGGUUUGUGAGGCCCGGACCACACCAGGAGGGAAGGGUUCCAGGACAUGAGGCGUGCAUGUUUUCAGCCCCGCGAACUGGUUCCCUGGGUGACACCAUGACCUUGUGAGCCAAGAGUGAGCAUCUAAGAGAUGGGCGUCUCACGGACUACCUGUGCAGCUUCUAGAACAAUCCUCCCCUUUCCGAGGUCAGCUGAGGGAGGCCUGUCCUUGGGCCCUGUCACUGGUGAGCCACGUGGCCCUGGGCAUGUGCCGAAGGAGGGGAGGGCUGCUCUCCCCCCGUGUGAUACCCGGGUCAGCCCAGCAGCCCAUUGUACAGGUGAUGACACUGAGGCCCGUGCACGUGAGCUGUGAUGCCCAGUCUCACCUUGGGGAGAAUCUGCGUCCAUCCCUCCUCCAGGAAGACUGUCCCCACCAGCUGAACAGCAGUGAGAAGGGCCUGUGGCCGACAGCGUUGGCUUCG
Long non-coding RNA from Ailuropoda melanoleuca (giant panda), 984 nucleotides. RefSeq lists it as uncharacterized. The transcript has 4 exons. The record is from RefSeq and is a predicted model, not a curated record. NCBI's taxonomy places the organism in Eukaryota, Metazoa, Chordata, Mammalia, Carnivora, Ursidae.